RNAcentral lists this ribosomal RNA (484 nucleotides) under uncultured bacterium. RNAcentral describes it as "partial 16S ribosomal RNA". It matches the Rfam family "Bacterial small subunit ribosomal RNA", at positions 30 to 507 of the family's 1533-position model. The record is from RNAcentral.
AUUGAACGCUGGCGGCAGGCCUAACACAUGCAAGUCGAGCGGAUGAAGGGAGCUUGCUCCUGGAUUCAGCGGCGGACGGGUGAGUAAUGCCUAGGAAUCUGCCUGGUAGUGGGGGAUAACGUCCGGAAACGGGCGCUAAUACCGCAUACGUCCUGAGGGAGAAAGUGGGGGAUCUUCGGACCUCACGCUAUCAGAUGAGCCUAGGUCGGAUUAGCUAGUUGGUGGGGUAAAGGCCUACCAAGGCGACGAUCCGUAACUGGUCUGAGAGGAUGAUCAGACACACUGGAACUGAGACACGGUCCAGACUCCUACGGGAGGCAGCAGUGGGGAAUAUUGGACAAUGGGCGAAAGCCUGAUCCAGCCAUGCCGCGUGUGUGAAGAAGGUCUUCGGAUUGUAAAGCACUUUAAGUUGGGAGGAAGGGCAGUAAGUUAAUACCUUGCUGUUUUGACGUUACCAACAGAAUAAGCACCGGCUAACUUCGUG